AUUGAACGCUGGCGGCAUGCCUUACACAUGCAAGUCGAACGGCAGCGGACCUUCGGGUGCCGGCGAGUGGCGAACGGGUGAGUAAUGCAUCGGAACGUGCCAUUGAGUGGGGGAUAACGUAGCGAAAGUUGCGCUAAUACCGCAUAUUCUGUGCGCAGGAAAGCAGGGGACCGCAAGGCCUUGCGCUCUUUGAGCGGCCGAUGUCAGAUUAGCUAGUUGGUGAGGUAACGGCUUACCAAGGCGACGAUCUGUAGCGGGUCUGAGAGGAUGAUCCGCCACACUGGAACUGAGACACGGUCCAGACUCCUACGGGAGGCAGCAGUGGGGAAUUUUGGACAAUGGGGGCAACCCUGAUCCAGCCAUGCCGCGUGAGUGAAGAAGGCCUUCGGGUUGUAAAGCUCUUUCGGCCGGGAAGAAAUCGCAUGGGUUAAUACCCUGUGUGGAUGACGGUACCGGCAUAAGAAGCACCGGCUAACUACGUG
Molecule: ribosomal RNA, 482 nt
Filed under: uncultured bacterium
Lineage: Bacteria
Description: bacterial SSU rRNA
Rfam family: Bacterial small subunit ribosomal RNA
Source: RNAcentral